RNAcentral lists this ribosomal RNA (484 nucleotides) under uncultured bacterium. Its description in RNAcentral is "partial 16S ribosomal RNA". It matches the Rfam family "Bacterial small subunit ribosomal RNA", at positions 30 to 507 of the family's 1533-position model. The record is from RNAcentral.
AUUGAACGCUGGCGGCAGGCCUAACACAUGCAAGUCGAGCGGAUGAAGGGAGCUUGCUCCUGGAUUCAGCGGCGGACGGGUGAGUAAUGCCUAGGAAUCUGCCUGGUAGUGGGGGAUAACGUCCGGAAACGGGCGCUAAUACCGCAUACGUCCUGAGGGAGAAAGUGGGGGAUCUUCGGACCUCACGCUAUCAGAUGAGCCUAGGUCGGAUUAGCUAGUUGGUGGGGUAAAGGCCUACCAAGGCGACGAUCCGUAACUGGUCUGAGAGGAUGAUCAGUCACACUGGAACUGAGACACGGUCCAGGCUCCUACGGGAGGCAGCAGUGGGGAAUAUUGGACAAUGGGCGAAAGCCUGCUCCAGCCAUGCCGCGUGUGUGAAGAAGGUCUUCGGAUUGUAAAGCACUUUAAGUUGGGAGGAAGGGCAGUAAGUUAAUACCUUGCUGUUUUGACGUUACCAACAGAAUAAGCACCGGCUAACUUCGUG